UACAGAGGGUGCAAGCGUUAAUCGGAUUCACUGGGUUUAAAGGGUGCGUAGGCGGGUAAGUAAUUCCGUGGUGAAAUCUCUGAGCUUAACUCAGAAACUGCCGUGGAUACUAUUUGCCUUGAAUAUUGUGGAGGUGAGCGGAAUAUGUCAUGUAGCGGUGAAAUGCUUAGAUAUGACAUAGAACACCAAUUGCGAAGGCAGCUCACUACACAAUCAUUGACGCUGAGGCACGAAAGCGUGGGGAUCAAACAGG
This 253-nucleotide ribosomal RNA is filed under the name uncultured bacterium. Its description in RNAcentral is "partial 16S ribosomal RNA". It matches the Rfam family "Bacterial small subunit ribosomal RNA", at positions 524 to 776 of the family's 1533-position model. The record is from RNAcentral.